This 328-nucleotide long non-coding RNA is filed under the name Sinocyclocheilus grahami. RNAcentral's name for it is "lncRNA (ENSSGRG00000054452.1)". Lineage: Eukaryota; Metazoa; Chordata; Actinopteri; Cypriniformes; Cyprinidae. The record is from RNAcentral.
CGCACAUUUUUGAGCUUCAAAAACGCUCUUCGGAAAUCUACGGGUGUUUUUAUACAGCAAGACCGUGAAACAAGCACUCAGACGGAUGACACACUUGAAGAAACAGAACAACAGACAAAGAAAGCUCACCAUGUUGGUGUCAGUGAUGAGACUGAUGCAGCCGCACAAACUGAGUCCAAAACAAAGCAUUAUCCAAAUGUACAGAGGUCACUCCUCCAGGUGUUUAAAUGUGCCUAUGCUCACCUGGUCCAGCCGUGGUACACAGUCCCAGAACUUGGCGACAGUCAGCCCCUUCAUAGGGCACUACAGACGGAGUUUAACCUGGUAG